AGCUCUCUUAUUCAGUUCGUUUCCAGUAAAUAUUGAGCAGUGAUGCGCACUUUGAUCGGUUCUGAAAUAUUCUUGUGAUGUGUUUAGGCUUAAGCUACUUUUUGAAUCUUCAUCUUAUAUUUUUUUACUUACAUUUUUGGAAAUGGGUGAAGCGAGUAUUUCGUUUUCAAGUUGAUUUUUCGCUAGUUUGAGUUUGUUUCCUCCGGUGUAGCUCUUUCUCGAAUUUUUCUGGUUAUUGUGCUUAUUUCAACUCUUGUUUGCUUACUUGUUAAUCGCUUUGAAACUACUUCAUCUGUUGUCAUGUGUUUAGAGGAUGUCGAAGUAGUUAUCUAGUCAUUUCUUGUACCUAUUUUUGUCCUGGUCAAGUCUAAAUCUCAUUAUGUUUGGCUUGUGGGGCUUAUUCCAUGUUUCGGAUAUUUCGGUUUUGUUCAAAUUGUUGACAAUGUUGUUCUUGUUUUCCAUAAAAAAAUAAAAUCAUAGUGAUGGGUGAAGUGUCGAUUUCGAUCUUAUCUUCUCAUUUGUUUCAGUUUUUUUUUAGUGUGUAGAUGAUUACAAAAUGACCUCAGAAUUACUAUCUUUUAAUCACAAAGGAAAUGCAUUGUGGCCUUUUUUUUAGUUCUUUUAAAGGGGUCUUAAGUUAUAUUUCCUUAAUUUUACCUCAUGAUCUAACCCUCCUUUUCUACACACAAUCUUGCAUAGCUCCUUUGUUAAGUUUAUUAGAUUUGUUUUGUGCCUUCUGCAUAAUUGCUUAAAUGAUGGAAAACGGGUUUCAGUCCGUGAAUGAAAGUUCCUCGAGUCAUUUUUUUAAAAUGCGUGUUAAAUCCUAGUGCACAUUGCGAAAUCUCGGAAAUUUUCUUUUCAUUACGUUAUUGCCUAAUUUAAGUACAAACCCGUGCUUUACUAGCUUUUGUGCUCAUGCAAUUGUGUAUAUUGUGAUUCGAGAUUUUGAAUUACGGACCUGAAAAUAAUGGUAUUAAUUCGUGUUAAAAAUUGGCUCUCUAGAAUGCACCCAUUAAAAUCCUUGUUAUUAUAGGAAUUUACUCAAACUUUUAAAUUCGCCAUAAGUUGUCUGUUGGGGUGGUAUAAGUUGUCUGUUGUGGUGGCUUGGAUGUGUAAUUUUGUAUGAUCUAUUCUAAAAUUAAACUAUUAUAAUAUCUUUCAUUUUUUAUUUUAUCCAAGUUUGGUUUACUGUUUAGAUCACUUGCCAUGAAUUAGUGUUGUUGUUUGUCCUUUUAUUUUAUUUUAUUUUAAGUGUCAUAUAUCUUGUCCUAUGAUUUCCUUUCUUGCCCUUGUAAUUGGUUUUAGUUGGUCAAUCAUAUGGACAUUUGUCAAAUAGUUACAUGCGGCUUUCUUAAGUUCAGUUAUUGCUGAUGUUUGAACGGCUGCUACUUCUUGUCUUGGGCUUAUAAUUGUGUUCUUAUGAGCGACAUUUCUUUAUAUCCAUUUACCUGAUUCUAAUCCUAACCAAGUGUUUUGCUCUCUGUGGGAUGCUUAGGCAGUAGUAUUUUUGGUUAUUUUAUUCUUUUGUAUCAAGCUGUUAUGAACAAUUACUUAUAAGUUUAUUCAUUUUUGUUGCAUGUGAAAUUGGCCCGAGUUCACCACGAACUCCUAUCCUCUCCCUUGCAUUUUCGAGAAAGCCAUAAAGGCUCAAAUUCCUCUUAUCGAGUCAGCCGACAAGAAAUUUAAAGAACUAGCCAUUAAAAAUUGACGAACAGGUCUCGAGGUUGAAAGGAGCAACCGAUUGAGAAAUUUGAAAAGAUUAGGCCGAAGGCCCACUCUUAAUUCAUAAUAGUUGUAUUUUGUUAUUUUGGGCCUAAGCCCUCGUCAUUUCAAUUGUUAUUGUUGUAUUAGUUUAGGACAGGAGGAAGAAUUGGGACUAAUGCCCAAAAGAUAGAAAAUACUUCUAUUAUGCUAGAAUAGGACAGGUGCAAAUGACUUAAAUGGGCCGAAGGCCCAAAACAAAAAUGGGCCCAAAUACUGGUCCAGGCAGACUGAAACCAGAUUUGGGUCCAACUCUCUUUCCCUCUUCAUCUUAAUU
This 2038-nucleotide long non-coding RNA is filed under the name Solanum tuberosum (potato). RNAcentral's name for it is "long non-coding RNA (STUB_LNC005406)". Lineage: Eukaryota; Viridiplantae; Streptophyta; Magnoliopsida; Solanales; Solanaceae. The record is from RNAcentral.